RNAcentral lists this ribosomal RNA (468 nucleotides) under uncultured bacterium. Its description in RNAcentral is "partial 16S ribosomal RNA". It matches the Rfam family "Bacterial small subunit ribosomal RNA", at positions 28 to 507 of the family's 1533-position model. The record is from RNAcentral.
GACGAACGCUGGCGGCGUGCUUAACACAUGCAAGUCGAACGGAAAGGCCCUGCUUUUGUGGGGUGCUCGAGUGGCGAACGGGUGAGUAACACGUGAGUAACCUGCCCUUGACUCUGGGAUAACUUCAGGAAACUGGGGCUAAUACCGGAUAGGAGCUCCUGCUGCAUGGUGGGGGUUGGAAAGUUUCGGCGGUUGGGGAUUGACUCGCAGCUUAUCAGCUUGUUGGUGGGGUAGUGGCUUACCAAGGCUUUGACGGGUAGCCGGCCUGAGAGGGUGACCGGCCACAUUGGGACUGAGAUACGGCCCAGACUCCUACGGGAGGCAGCAGUGGGGAAUAUUGCACAAUGGGCGGAAGCCUGAUGCAGCAACGCCGCGUGCGGGAUGACGGCCUUCGGGUUGUAAACCGCGUUCGCCUGUGACGAAGCGUGAGUGGCGGUAAUGGGUAAAGAAGCACCGGCUAACUACGUG